UUCUCUGAAGUAAUUAGUGUAAGUAAAGUGUUUUAUAGUGAAAUCAAAAGUGGAAAUAGUGUUUUAUCGAAAUCGUGUAAAAAGUUUGUGCGGGAAGUGUUCGUUUAGUGUUAUUUUGUGAAAAUAAAAAUGUGCAAGUGAAAGAAAGGCUUGUUGAAGUAAAUGUUAAAAAACCUGCAGUAAUGACAUGAAAUAAAUUCGCCGUUAAUGCAGGUUUAAUUGAAGUACAAUAAAGGAAGAAAACUGUGGUAUACUUUUGGGCUGAGAACAGUCCAUAAAACAUCAACACUGCAAUGCUGUGGGGAACAGAUGUCCGCCGCCAUAUUAAUCGCCUUCCGUCAGUUCCGUUUAUUCGUGCGCGAGCGUAAGUUGCGUUGAAAUGACGGGUCAUUGAAUCGUGAAUUUUAGUAAAAUUUGUUUUUGUAAAAAAGUUUUAUAAAGUGUAAUCAAUAGUUUAUAUAGUGUUCUAUAGAAAUCGUAUAAAAAGUGUGUGUUUAGUGUUAUUUAACAAAAUUAAAACUGCAUAAGUAAGUGAAAGAAAAGCUGGUUCAAGCGAAUGAGCAAAGGCACUGUUUUACCCACCAGCGAUAAUGCUGUUAAUGCAGAAUUGAUUGGAUUUUAAUAUUAAACGGAUGUAUACUUCUCGGCCAAUUUAGGGAAUGAAUUAUACAACAUUGUUGUAAUCCUUUUGUUGUACCAACCAACACCCACUGCCAUUACUCUAAUUAAAGACAUUUUUUCCAUAAUCCAACAAGCAACAACAAAGUGGCUGCGAGUGAGAAACAGAGAAGCAAAUAAAAAAGUGAGAGAAAGAGA
This is a long non-coding RNA of Bactrocera tryoni, 816 nucleotides long. RefSeq lists it as uncharacterized. Lineage: Eukaryota; Metazoa; Arthropoda; Insecta; Diptera; Tephritidae. The transcript is spliced from 3 exons. The record is from RefSeq and is a predicted model, not a curated record.